GACGAACGCUGGCGGCGUGCCUAAUACAUGCAAGUCGAGCGGACCAAAGGGAGCUUGCUCCUGGAGGUUAGCGGCGAACGGGUGAGUAACACGUGGGCAACCUGCCUGUAAGACUGGGAUAACAUCGAGAAAUCGGUGCUAAUACCGGAUAAUAAAAAGAGCUGCAUGGUUCUUUUUUGAAAGAUGGUUUCGGCUAUCACUUACAGAUGGGCCCGCGGCGCAUUAGCUAGUUGGUGAGGUAACGGCUCACCAAGGCGACGAUGCGUAGCCGACCUGAGAGGGUGAUCGGCCACACUGGGACUGAGACACGGCCCAGACUCCUACGGGAGGCAGCAGUAGGGAAUCUUCCGCAAUGGACGAAAGUCUGACGGAGCAACGCCGCGUGAGUGAUGAAGGUUUUCGGAUCGUAAAAACGUCUAGUUGUUAGGGAAGAACGAAAGUGCCGUUCGAAAGGGCGGCACCUUGACGGUACCUAACGAGAAAGCCACGGCUAACUACGUGCCAGCAGCCGACGG
RNAcentral lists this ribosomal RNA (515 nucleotides) under uncultured bacterium. Its description in RNAcentral is "bacterial SSU rRNA". It matches the Rfam family "Bacterial small subunit ribosomal RNA", at positions 28 to 520 of the family's 1533-position model. The record is from RNAcentral.